This 153-nucleotide small RNA is filed under the name Arabidopsis thaliana (thale cress). Its description in RNAcentral is "ATSL020210". The record is from RNAcentral. Lineage: Eukaryota; Viridiplantae; Streptophyta; Magnoliopsida; Brassicales; Brassicaceae.
AAUAAAAGAUAAGGAAGACAAAUCAUAUAUAUGAAAGUUGGCCAACUCUCUCCAUAUGAUUGACACAUCAUCACUUUAACAUGUGCCAUGUGUCCACAUAAUAAUUAAUGUAAGCUUUCAACUUUUAAUUUAUAGAUUAAUGAUGUAUUUAUU